AUCGCUGCCGAUAAACUGGUUAUUUUGCAAAAACAGUGUAAAUUAUAGCUGUGGUGCGAACCCACGAAAUAUUGUGUUGAUAAAUUUAAAGACGGCAUUAAGAGAAUCUGUACAUAUAUAAAUCUCUUCUAAAAAAUCCGUAUUAGGUUAUAACAGCGGAAUAAUGAUUGUACGUACCAAUUCCAUACUUGUACUAGCUUAUAUUGUAUUAGUUAGUGGGCUUACAGAAAGCCAACGUUAUUUAGAAGCUCCAGAAGUGACAAGUGUGUCUUUGGCAGAACCAGAAGGCCUGUAUAUCCAGUGGUGGCCGGUUAGACAAAGGGACGAUGAUCCAGUAAUUGGGUACAAGAUAAGGCUUUGGGAAAUACCAGAAUCAUCAACAACUGAUAUUCAAUUAGUUAAUGCUCUCAAGUAUCCGGGGACAGUGACAAGCGAGGAAUCCUCUAAGUCAUUUUCUAUCAACAACACGGAGCCAAUUUCCAGAGAAGAGAUCGUUGGGUCUACGCACAAAGGUUUAAUAUCGGCUACAGUUAAAAUCAAAUAUAAUACGAUUUACGAAGUUCGAGUAUUGGGCUUUAAGAAGGACGUUGACGGGCCUAUGUCUUUGCCUACGAGGACCAAGGUGGUGAAAGGAAGUGGUUAUCAGGUUGUACUACAAAGGACGACAACUGGGUGUCGGAUUACAGUACCUUCAGAAGUACAAUACGAAAAUGACCCAUAUCCAUACGAACACAAUUUUAUUUUUUAAAACUAUGAUAGAAAUUAUACACAACAAUAAAACUUGUGAACUUUUAUUCAUAAACGUCAAAAAGCUUUUGUAGGGAGUGUGAUUGUUUUUAUAUAACAGCGGUUAAUAGAUGCUCAAAGCUUAUAUGACAAAAUGUGAUUACUCACAUUACACAUUACCAGAAGACUCGCAAGUGCGUUGCUGGCUUUAAUGUGGAUAUUCAACAGCU
Long non-coding RNA from Pieris rapae (cabbage white), 956 nucleotides. RefSeq lists it as uncharacterized. The record is from RefSeq and is a predicted model, not a curated record. Lineage: Eukaryota; Metazoa; Arthropoda; Insecta; Lepidoptera; Pieridae. The transcript has 3 exons.